This 666-nucleotide long non-coding RNA is filed under the name Equus asinus (donkey). Its description in RNAcentral is "lncRNA (ENSEASG00005032913.1)". The record is from RNAcentral. Lineage: Eukaryota; Metazoa; Chordata; Mammalia; Perissodactyla; Equidae.
GGAGAUUUGACCAGGUGAGUUUAUGAUCCUUGGCACCUUCACAAAAGCAUGAUCUGGAUAUUUUUCUUCUAGACACUGUUUAUCUAAUUGACAGAUAUUAACAUUGUAAACAUUUUAGAGGAGACGCUCUGGUAGAUGUUGGGGAAAUAGAUGAAGAGGACCAGCCACUGCUCUCAAGGAUCUCAGACCCAUAUGUGAUCGAUGACAACGCAGCAAGUGUGUCAACAGAAAACUGAUCCCAAAAAGGCCCAGAGGGUAAAAGCCUGACUCUUCCAGAAAGUUUCAGGGAGGAAGUGCUAUGGCUGACUAUUGCAAGAAGACUCAGGUGGAAGGGGAAGAUAAGGAAGGACAUUCCCGGCAGAAGGGACAGCUUGGCCAAGGGCGUAGCAUUAAGGAGAGAGCAGGUUUUGACAAGCUGCUGUCAAAAGAAGGGUUAAGUCCACAGAUUUCAUUGUAAUUCCUGGCACAGAGUUUGAGGUACCACUAUCUGCAAAGGGGACCAAACGGAUGACUUGCCCAGGAAUUUGGGGGAGAGCCUGAAGCCAUCUCCUGUAAUCAUAGCAUCUCAUUAAAAAAUUCUGAUUUAUUGUAAAAAUCUAUUUGAACUUGUGUCUAAUCCAUUUUUGUAUGUGUUCUUGGUUUUCAAAUAAAAAUGUUUUAAAUUAA